RNAcentral lists this ribosomal RNA (253 nucleotides) under uncultured bacterium. RNAcentral describes it as "partial 16S ribosomal RNA". It matches the Rfam family "Bacterial small subunit ribosomal RNA", at positions 524 to 776 of the family's 1533-position model. The record is from RNAcentral.
UACGUAGGGUGCGAGCGUUAAUCGGAAUUACUGGGCGUAAAGCGUGCGCAGGCGGUUUUGUAAGGCAGAUGUGAAAGCCCCGGGCUCAACCUGGGAAUGGCAUUUGGGACUGCAAGGCUGGAGUUUGGCAGAGGAGACUGGAAUUCCUGGUGUAGCAGUGAAAUGCGUAGAUAUCAGGAGGAAUACCGAUGGCGAAGGCAGGUCUCUGGGCUAUAACUGACGCUCAUGCACGAAAGCGUGGGGAGCAAACAGG